Orbicella faveolata is the source of this 390-nucleotide long non-coding RNA. The record is from RefSeq and is a predicted model, not a curated record. NCBI's taxonomy places the organism in Eukaryota, Metazoa, Cnidaria, Anthozoa, Scleractinia, Merulinidae.
AUGGCAAUGAGACUGUGCAGGAAAAGAUUACUGCAGUUAGUAAAAUAACAAGCGAGGAACAGCGAAAAAACUUUUAAUAUUUUAUGAUAAAAGACCGAAGGUAUGGGUGCGACAAUUUCCAGCCACACCCAUGGAACUUCCGUCAGUGAACAUGGAAAGGGAAAGUUGGAGUUUACUCCUCAAAAUGAAGCACUGUUGAAUGAUAUUGUCAAACAGGUUGAGGCACUUGUCAGUUCACAUCCUCGAGAGGCAGAAACCAUACUUAAGGAACCUUUCAAAUGGCAUAGCACUCUUAAACCAGACAGCUUUGGAGAAUUGAAUUUUGGAUCUAUGGGAUUUCAGAUAACUCACAGUGAUGUUAAAUCAGAGGCGAAAACACCAAACGGCGAG